RNAcentral lists this ribosomal RNA (496 nucleotides) under uncultured bacterium. Its description in RNAcentral is "partial 16S ribosomal RNA". It matches the Rfam family "Bacterial small subunit ribosomal RNA", at positions 29 to 507 of the family's 1533-position model. The record is from RNAcentral.
ACGAACGCUGGCGGCGUGCCUAAUACAUGCAAGUUGAGCGCUGAAGGUUGGUACUUGUACCAACUGGAUGAGCAGCGAACGGGUGAGUAACGCGUGGGGAAUCUGCCUUUGAGCGGGGGACAACAUUUGGAAACGAAUGCUAAUACCGCAUAAAAACUUUAAACACAAGUUUUAAGUUUGAAAGAUGCAAUUGCAUCACUCAAAGAUGAUCCCGCGUUGUAUUAGCUAGUUGGUGAGGUAAAGGCUCACCAAGGCGAUGAUACAUAGCCGACCUGAGAGGGUGAUCGGCCACAUUGGGACUGAGACACGGCCCAAACUCCUACGGGAGGCAGCAGUAGGGAAUCUUCGGCAAUAGACGAAAGUCUGACCGAGCAACGCCGCGUGAGUGAAGAAGGUUUUUGGAUCGUAAAAAUCUGUUGGUAGAGAAGAACGUUGGUGAGAGUGGAAAGCUCAUCAAGUGACGGUAACUACCCAGAAAGGGACGGCUAACUACGUG